This 374-nucleotide unclassified non-coding RNA is filed under the name uncultured Lentimicrobiaceae bacterium. Its description in RNAcentral is "contains 16S-23S intergenic spacer region". Lineage: Bacteria; Pseudomonadati; Bacteroidota; Bacteroidia; Bacteroidales; Lentimicrobiaceae. The record is from RNAcentral.
UCACUACUUGCGUAGGCAGUUUCUCUAGAGUCCCCAGCAUGACCUGAUGGCAACUAAAGAUAGGGGUUGCGCUCGUUAUGGGACUUAACCCGACACCUCACGGCACGAGCUGACGACAACCAUGCAGCACCUCGCAAAAUGUCCCGAAGGAAGAUCCGAUUUCUCGAACUGUCAUCUUGCGUUCUAGCCCAGGUAAGGUUCCUCGCGUAUCAUCGAAUUAAACCACAUGCUCCUCCGCUUGUGCGGGCCCCCGUCAAUUCCUUUGAGUUUCAACCUUGCGGCCGUACUCCCCAGGUGGAUCACUUAAUGCUUUCGCUUAGACGCUGACAGUAUAUCGCCAACAUCGAGUGAUCAUCGUUUACAGCGUGGACUAC